RNAcentral lists this unclassified non-coding RNA (330 nucleotides) under soil metagenome. RNAcentral describes it as "partial contains 5.8S ribosomal RNA, internal transcribed spacer 2, and large subunit ribosomal RNA". The stretch from base 1 to 120 matches the Rfam family "5.8S ribosomal RNA", at positions 35 to 154 of the family's 154-position model. The record is from RNAcentral.
GAUGAAGAACGCAGCGAAAUGCGAUAAGUAAUGUGAAUUGCAGAAUUCAGUGAAUCAUCGAAUCUUUGAACGCACAUUGCGCUCCCUGGUAUUCCGGGGAGCAUGCCUGUUCGAGCGUCAUUACAACCCUCAAGCUCUGCUUGGUGUUGGGCCCCGCCGCCCCGGCGGGCCCUAAAGUCAGUGGCGGUGCCGUCCGGCUCCGAGCGUAGUAAACAUACCACGCUCAGGGCACGCGACGGGUGACCGGCCGUAAAACCCCCCCCUUCUCAAGGUUGACCUCGGAUCAGGUAGGAAUACCCGCUGAACUUAAGCAUAUCAAUAAGCGGAGGA